This 389-nucleotide long non-coding RNA is filed under the name Gallus gallus (chicken). The record is from RNAcentral. Lineage: Eukaryota; Metazoa; Chordata; Aves; Galliformes; Phasianidae.
CCGGCCCCGCGGGGAGCCCCGGGAGGGGAAGGGGUCGAAAGCCGCGGGGCAGCGCUGGGGCGGUCGGGGGGCGUCCGCGGGGAAACGACCCCGAACCCCGCGCCCCUAAACGUGAGAAACGGCGGGGCCGGGAGAGGGGGCUCCCAGCGCGGAGCCGUGUCUGCACCCCGGGCCGGGAUGUUGUUCAUCUUCCAGCCUCCCCUCCAGAGCUUAGAACCGAAUUCUCCUCCCCCGAUUCUGCAUUUGGGUUCCCUCGGCUUUAGAGACUGCGCCCGGGGGGCGCACACGAUCCCAUUGCUUUUUGGUGACUCCACACGCUCGAACGGCUGUGUCUGCUUAUAGAAAAACAAGAUGAGACUCAUGCCUAUUCCAGGGAUUCUGGGGGAAGA